GUUGGUUUGGAUACCUAAGGAAUUUCCAGUGAAAUAGAAAUGGAGAAACAAGACACUUCAGAUCAUGUCAUAUCUUGUACAUUAAAAUAAGCUGAGGAAUGUGAACAAGAAUGAUUAAGUACUGAUGUGUAAAUGAGCUAAAGGUGACUCUCGUCCCCAAAACUGGAUGAAGUCUGAAAAAGAACCCGCUCAUGUUUCCUAGUUCUGAUGUGGGGGCAGGGCGACUGAAGAGAAUGGUCAGCCAAACACAAAUGUUCUAUAAAUAUUUGGAGAACAAAGUCUACAUAUUUUUGACCUUCACGUAAAUGCUAUCACAUUGUUUGUUCUUUUGUAAACAUGAAAUCUGCCUCAGCAGAGUCCAUCUGU
This 366-nucleotide long non-coding RNA is filed under the name Canis lupus familiaris (dog). Its description in RNAcentral is "lncRNA (ENSCAFG00805025117.1, ENSCAFG00845024169.1)". The record is from RNAcentral. Lineage: Eukaryota; Metazoa; Chordata; Mammalia; Carnivora; Canidae.